CAGCAGCCGCGGUAAUACCAGCAGCCCAAGUGGUGGUCGCGCUUAUUGGGCCUAAAGCGCUCGUAGCCUGGCCGGUAAGUUCCCCGUGAAAUCGGGUCGCCCAACGAUUCGGCUUGCGGGGAAUACUGUCGGUCUUGGGGCCGGGAGACGCCGAGGGUACUCCGGGGGUAGCGGUGAAAUGCUGUAAUCCUCGGGGGACUACCAGUGGCGAAGGCGCUCGGCGAUAACGGGCCUGACGGUGAGGGGCGAAAGCUGGGGGCGCGAACGGGAUUAGAUACCCCGGUAGUCCCUGUCUCUUAUA
This 301-nucleotide ribosomal RNA is filed under the name uncultured bacterium. Its description in RNAcentral is "partial 16S ribosomal RNA". It matches the Rfam family "Archaeal small subunit ribosomal RNA", at positions 459 to 759 of the family's 1478-position model. The record is from RNAcentral.